AUGGCCUUCAUGAUUCCAGGACCUAGAAUCAUACCAGCCGAUGGCACGACCCUCUUUUGUUGGACUGUUUACCAUAUAACUGGAAUUAACCCAUGCAAGUCGAAGAAGGAUUGGCCGGUGCUGCCAGCUGGCGUCAAGUUCGAUCCCACGGAUCAGGAGCUGAUCGAGCACCUUGAGGCCAAAGUGAAUGCUGACAGUGCGAGAUCUCACCCUCUCAUCGAUUUGUUCAUACCAACCAUCGACAGCGAGCACAACAUAUGCUACACCCAUCCUGAGAAAUUUCCAAGUAUCACACUGAGUGGCCUAAGCAAGCAUUUCUUCCAGUGCAAUUCCAGGGCGUUCAAAAGGGGCACGUGGACGCGUCGCAAGAUACAGUCGGAGUGCGGCAUGCACGCGAUGUGGCACAACACGGGCAAUACCUUGCCAGUGAUGGUCAACGGCCGGCAGAUGGGCAGCAAAAAGGUUCUGGUGCUGCACACCAACAAGAACUUCGACCAGCAGAGGAACAACUGGGUGAUGCACCAGUACCACCUCGGGGAUCUGGAGCAAGAGAAGGAGCGGGAGCUGGUCCUCUGCAAGAUUUUCUACCAGACGAACACUAGGGCCAGGAGUGAAAAGAUUAUAAGUCGAGCAAGUUUCAACUGGGCUGUAGACUGCCCAGGCUUGGUUUUUUUUAAGAGGCCUAGCCCAUGA
Molecule: ribosomal RNA, 693 nt
Filed under: Triticum aestivum (bread wheat)
Lineage: Eukaryota; Viridiplantae; Streptophyta; Magnoliopsida; Poales; Poaceae
Description: partial small subunit ribosomal RNA
Source: RNAcentral